This 229-nucleotide unclassified non-coding RNA is filed under the name uncultured Corticiaceae. Its description in RNAcentral is "sequence contains ITS2". The record is from RNAcentral. Lineage: Eukaryota; Fungi; Basidiomycota; Agaricomycetes; Corticiales; Corticiaceae.
AGCUCUCAAGCGAGUCUUUUUAUUAUUAAGAGACGAGUUUGGAUUUGAACUCUGCCGUGUAACAAACGGCUGGUUCUAAAAGUAUUAGCUGAUCCCUUAGUAAGGUCUUUGGUUCUUACUUGACGUGAUAAUUAUCUAUCGUCAAGGACGUCUCUUACUUCACUGUGAGAGAUGGCCAGAGUCUUGAUAAGGAUUGCUUCUAAUAGUCUUCACUUGACAAUUAUUUGAA